AGAACGAACGCUGGCGGCAUGCCUAACACAUGCAAGUCGAACGAGACCUUCGGGUCUAGUGGCGCACGGGUGCGUAACGCGUGGGAACCUGCCUUUAGGUUCGGAAUAACUCCUCGAAAGGGGUGCUAAUACCGAAUAAUGUCUUCGGACCAAAGAUUUAUCGCCUUUAGAUGGGCCCGCGUUGGAUUAGCUAGUUGGUGGGGUAAAGGCCUACCAAGGCGACGAUCCAUAGCUGGUCUUAGAGGAUGAUCAGCCACACUGGGACUGAGACACGGCCCAGACUCCUACGGGAGGCAGCAGUGGGGAAUAUUGGACAAUGGGCGAAAGCCUGAUCCAGCAAUGCCGCGUGAGUGAUGAAGGCCUUAGGGUGUAAAGCUCUUUACCCGGAUGAUAAUGACAGUACCGGGAGAAUAAGCUCCGGACUAACUCCGUGCCAGCAGCCGAC
RNAcentral lists this ribosomal RNA (445 nucleotides) under uncultured soil bacterium. RNAcentral describes it as "bacterial SSU rRNA". It matches the Rfam family "Bacterial small subunit ribosomal RNA", at positions 26 to 518 of the family's 1533-position model. The record is from RNAcentral.